AUGCACGCUGACAGAAUGCUUCACACAUGCAAGUCAACUUGAACUUCGGUUUGGGUGGCGGCCGGGUGAGUAACGCGUAAAGAACUUGCCUCACAGCUAGGGACAACAUUUGGAAACGAAUGCUAAUACCUGAUAUUAUGAUUUUAGGGCAUCCUAGAAUUAUGAAAGCUAUAUGCGCUGUGAGAGAGCUUUGCGUCCCAUUAGCUAGUUGGAGAGGUAACGGCUCACCAAGGCGAUGAUGGGUAGCCGGCCUGAGAGGGUGAACGGCCACAAGGGGACUGAGACACGGCCCUUACUCCUACGGGAGGCAGCAGUGGGGAAUAUUGGACAAUGGACCAAGAGUCUGAUCCAGCAAUUCUGUGUGCACGAUGAAGUUUUUCGGAAUGUAAAGUGCUUUCAGUUGGGAAGAAAAAAAUGACGGUACCAACAGAAGAAGUGACGGCUAAAUACGU
RNAcentral lists this ribosomal RNA (452 nucleotides) under uncultured bacterium. Its description in RNAcentral is "partial 16S ribosomal RNA". It matches the Rfam family "Bacterial small subunit ribosomal RNA", at positions 29 to 506 of the family's 1533-position model. The record is from RNAcentral.